Melitaea cinxia (Glanville fritillary) is the source of this 336-nucleotide long non-coding RNA. RefSeq lists it as uncharacterized. The record is from RefSeq and is a predicted model, not a curated record. The transcript has 2 exons. Lineage: Eukaryota; Metazoa; Arthropoda; Insecta; Lepidoptera; Nymphalidae.
UUAUUCACAGUCAAUUUAAGCUAUACGGGUAUAUUAUAAACAACAUCGAAAGGAAAAUAACUUUAUAUUUUAUUCCGACACUUCGAAGAUAUCGACGCUGAUAUAAAAUGAAGUUGAUAUUACCCCUACUUCUAGCGAUUUUUAUGUUGUCCUCUGCACUUGCAAGAACUAUAUUCUGUGCGUGCACUUUAAAAGACAUGCCUGUGUGCGGUUCAGAUGGAGUUACUUACGGCAACGAGCAGUGCAUGAAGUGUCAACCCAAUGUGACAAAACAGAAAUAUGGCCCAUGUUGAUGAAUGUAAUAUACAAUAAAAUCUUACUGUCUUCACUCACCUA